GUUUUAAUAAUUUAAAUAAAAAUAUUGAUUUUGUAAAUCAAAUAUAAGAAAAACUUUUAAAACU
Molecule: transfer RNA, 64 nt
Filed under: Psychomyia pusilla
Lineage: Eukaryota; Metazoa; Arthropoda; Insecta; Trichoptera; Psychomyiidae
Description: tRNA-Thr
Source: RNAcentral